GGGUGCGAUCAUACCAGCACUAAUGCACCGGAUGCCAUCAGAACUCCGCAGUUUAUGCGUGCUUGGGCGAGAGUAGUACUAGGAUGGGUGACUUGGUGAGAAGUCCUCGUGUUGCACCCC
RNAcentral lists this ribosomal RNA (120 nucleotides) under Gossypium arboreum. Lineage: Eukaryota; Viridiplantae; Streptophyta; Magnoliopsida; Malvales; Malvaceae. The record is from RNAcentral.